Molecule: long non-coding RNA, 1789 nt
Organism: Osmerus eperlanus (European smelt)
Lineage: Eukaryota; Metazoa; Chordata; Actinopteri; Osmeriformes; Osmeridae
Exons: 5
Source: RefSeq, a predicted model, not a curated record
UGUCUUCUUGGAUGGACAGUAUUGUAGAUGUUGCCAUCACAAUCCCUGUUUGUACAGGCUUCCAGCUACUUGGUUGUCCAAUCUUCAGCCUACGGAACAGUUGGAUCGUGUCCUGGAGGAACUUGAUGGCCUUUUGGUACUCCUCCAUCUUGUGCCUGCUCAGUGCCAUUACUGGGUGGCGAGAGGACAUGAGAUCAAACCAGUGGUCUACCUGCUCCAGGAGCCAUGCUGUUGUCCGGUAAGAGUGGACCGACUGAAGCUUCAUUGGAGGGGAGGUUCUCCCUCUACCAUAUCUGGUGGGAUUGUGAACGUCUGUCCGCGGACCAGGGCACUCUUCAAGUUCUUCACCAGGUGUGAGACAUCUGGCAUGAAGUAUAGCCUCCUGUCUGGUCUUGUUGGAUGUGGGACAGACGUUUUGUUGUGGUCCACUCCAAAGGCCUUCCACAUUGCCCGAUUAGGGCUGCCCAUGUCAGUGGUGACGUUAAUCACAUGUAGCCCGAUGGAAUCUGCUCUGUGAAUAAUGUCCAAGACAAUAGGUAACGUCACAUCCCCAUACAGCUUCCCUGUUCCCAGGUGCAGCUCCACGCUUGGUGUGAUUGACAUCUCAUCCAGAGGUUCUGAUGUCGGGGAGAGGAAUCAACAUGUCCUGUAGAAGUUUGUAGCCUGUUGAGCCAGUAGCAAAACGGAUUUGAAUAGCCUUUUUAAGGAUGUCAUUUCCCCAUCGUAUGCUUCUCUUACUCUUCAGACCACUCGAUUUUAUCUGAUCUUUUGAUAACAUUGUUCCAAAUUUAUUUUCCAUUAUUAUUAUUUUUUUCCGUAGGACCACAUUCAUUCUUUUUUGACAAUGUAGGGCUGCCUGUAACCUUCUUGUCUGAUCUAUUUGUUUUGUUAACUCCUCCCUCAGGUCUUUAUCACUGUACCCUGGCUCACUUGGACACUGGGCACAGGAUCCUGGCUCACUGGGGCACUGGGCACUGGAACCUGGCUCACUUGGACACUGGCUAUUGGCUCACUUGGACACUGGACUGGCUCAUUGGCUGCUGGACCCUUCCUCUUCUUGGGCUCAGGAUGAUGCAGAAAUAUGCUGGGAACAGCAUCAGCCUUCAAUUCCAGUUGGCCUUUUUUUGUUUUUGUGAAUUGGUCUCCCUCAAAAUGUGCCUGCGAUGAUAUUGGCACAAUGGCUUGAGUUUAAUUUCCACAUGCAUUCCAGACUCACCCCAUAAUUGUCAAUCCCAAUUUCAUUAUAGUCAUGUACAUAUUACAGUAAACAUAUUGGUCCUUGAUCCACAAGUGAAAUGUAUAAAGACAACUUAAACUCACACCACACAGUUUUCUAUUAUUGAAUUUUCUUGCGAUGGUCAGGUGCCUUCUGCCAACUUGCGCCAUCCAUUUUUUUCUCCUGUUUGUAUCUUUUGGAAAACCAUACAUCCGGAUCCCUCUCUCAGACCGAUUGGAGCAUGCUGCACAGCCAACCAUAAUCUCCUUGUCUUCUAGAAUCAUAUGAAGUGCAGGAGCUCAUUAAUUUGACAUUUUAUACUGCAUUUCAACCACUAUAAUGAUUGUGUUUGUGUGUGCCUAGUCUGAGGUUUGUGAACAGCAGACAUUUAGAUCACCGGAUCACUACAAACAAAAGGAGUGGAAGAACACUGGACAUAUUAUACAAUAAAAUGUUUUAUUGAAUGCAAUUGGUUGCCUUGUUUAUUCUGUUCUAUUUUUUUCUAUUGAACAGUUGCUGGUGAUAAUGGUUAGAUUCAACUUGCAUCAAGUACUACAAAUUUAAGUGUUGUUA